Long non-coding RNA from Pollicipes pollicipes, 653 nucleotides. RefSeq lists it as uncharacterized. NCBI's taxonomy places the organism in Eukaryota, Metazoa, Arthropoda, Thecostraca, Pollicipedomorpha, Pollicipedidae. The transcript is spliced from 3 exons. The record is from RefSeq and is a predicted model, not a curated record.
GCGAAUCGGGGAGUUGUAUAUAAGGUGCCACUUCACGGGGGAGGGGGCGCCCACACGACAGGCGUCACAGCGCCAUAACCGAUAAAGGCUCGGCGCCGUCUGCGCCGCUGUGUCGGCGCCGCCGCAUCCACCAACGUAAGAUGCCAUCAUGUCCUUCAGCAAGUCCAUCUGGCUGGUUGUACUGGUAGCCGUCUUUUAUCCGGAACAAGCAAUUCUCAUUUCAAAUCCAAGCUUCACAUCAGACAACGCCGUCAUUUUGUCAUCUCUUUUCAAGACAAAUUCUCCGCAAGAGCUGCACCCAACCGCUCAGUACAGCCAUGCUAACGUGAAUCCAUUUCUACAAGCCCUUCCCACGGAGAAGCUUCUACGACGAUAUCGCCGAAGUGCAUCACCGAGACGUCGUCACAGACGUCGAAGACAUAGGCCCAGACGUCGAAGACAUAGGCCCAGACGCAGACGACACAGACCCAGGCGCCAUCGACAUAGGCCCCGGCGCCAUCGACACAGGCCCAGGCGCCAGCGACACAGGCCUCGACGUCGACGUAGGCCCAAACGCCCUCGACGUAGACCUAAACGCCCUCGACGUAGGCCCAAACGCCCUCGACGUAGGCCCAGACGUCCUCGACGUAGGCCCAAACGCCCUCGACGUAAAC